Molecule: long non-coding RNA, 384 nt
Filed under: Mustela putorius furo (domestic ferret)
Lineage: Eukaryota; Metazoa; Chordata; Mammalia; Carnivora; Mustelidae
Description: lncRNA (ENSMPUG00000028676.1)
Source: RNAcentral
GGCAGAGAAAAUGGAAUCAAAGGAAGGUUUUCUUGGGCAGAGAGGAGUGAGAGCCUGUGUCUGCUGAUCAGCACGACUCGGUGGGAAGACCGAAGGUAGUGAUGUCCACGCAGAGUUUCUGACAGUAUCUGUACUCACCAUGAGUUCCUGUGCCAAAAAUGUCCUAUGUCUGAUUCAUUCACUCCUUUUCCCUCAUUUAAUUUAAAUUUUUUCAGCAGUAUUUUAGGAAAAGUCAACUCUCCCAGACUGCGAUUUUUCGGGCUUCUUGCCUACUCAUUUCCAUUUUCAUGGCUGAAAGGUAAAGUUUUAGUAACUUCAGCUUCAGUGCUGAACACCAGCAACCGUUCCUGUUGAUCAUAUACUCAGAAGAUGCUUGAAUUCCAG